GUAAGGAAUAUUGGUCAAUGGGCGGAAGCCUGAACCAGCCAUCCCGCGUGCAGGAAGACGGCCCUAUGGGUUGUAAACUGCUUUUCCAGGGGGCGAAACUUUCCGAUGUAUCGGGAUUUGACGGUACCCUGGGAAUAAGCAUCGGCUAACUCCGUGCCAGCAGCCGCGGUAAUACGGAGGAUGCGAGCGUUAUCCGGAUGUAUUGGGUUUAAAGGGUGCGUAGGCGGAUCGAUAAGUCAGUGGUGAAACCCUGCAGCUUAACUGUAGACUUGCCGUUGAUACUGUUGGUCUUGAGUGUGGUCAAGGUAGGCGGAAUGUGUAAUGUAGCGGUGAAAUGCUUAGAUAUUACACAGAACACCGAUUGCGAAGGCAGCUUACUGGGCCAUUACUGACGCUGAUGCACGAAAGCGUGGGGAUCGAACAGGAUUAGAUACCCGGGUAGUCC
This 445-nucleotide ribosomal RNA is filed under the name uncultured bacterium. RNAcentral's name for it is "partial 16S ribosomal RNA". It matches the Rfam family "Bacterial small subunit ribosomal RNA", at positions 354 to 796 of the family's 1533-position model. The record is from RNAcentral.